Molecule: long non-coding RNA, 239 nt
Organism: Chiroxiphia lanceolata (lance-tailed manakin)
Lineage: Eukaryota; Metazoa; Chordata; Aves; Passeriformes; Pipridae
Exons: 3
Source: RefSeq, a predicted model, not a curated record
AUGUCACAGCAUCACACAUCCAUGGCCACCCACAUCAUCCCUUUGCACGCCCCAAGCGAGCCAGAGGCCCGGAACAGAUCAGGCAGGGCCCUGGAUUUGCCUGCAAAAGGCACUUGGUGGCUGUUGUUGCUCGAACCAGCACGCUCAGAACUCAGGCUGAGGAGCCGAGUGGCGGGGCAGGGUGUCCCCCUCAGCCCGGCCUAUUGUGGGUUUAUGACGCUCUGGCCUCAGAAAAAGCA